GAUGAACGCUGGCGGCGUGCUUAACACAUGCAAGUCGAACGGAAAGGCUCCUGCUUGCAGGGGUACUCGAGUGGCGAACGGGUGAGUAACACGUGGGUGAUCUGCCCUGCACUUCGGGAUAAGCCUGGGAAACUGGGUCUAAUACCGGAUAGGACCACAUUUUGGAUGGUGUGGUGGAAAGUUUUUUCGGUGUGGGAUGAGCUCGCGGCCUAUCAGCUUGUUGGUGGGGUAAUGGCCUACCAAGGCGUCGACGGGUAGCCGGCCUGAGAGGGUGUACGGCCACAUUGGGACUGAGAUACGGCCCAGACUCCUACGGGAGGCAGCAGUGGGGAAUAUUGCACAAUGGGCGCAAGCCUGAUGCAGCGACGCCGCGUGGGGGAUGACGGCCUUCGGGUUGUAAACUCCUUUUGCUAGGGACGAAGCGUAAGUGACGGUACCUGGAGAAGAAGCACCGGCUAACUACGUGCCAGCAGCCGCGGUAAUACGUAGGGUGCGAGCGUUGUCCGGAAUUACUGGGCGUAAAGAGCUCGUAGGUGGUUUGUCGCGUCGUUUGUGUAAGCCCGCAGCUUAACUGCGGGACUGCAGGCGAUACGGGCAUAACUUGAGUGCUGUAGGGGAGACUGGAAUUCCUGGUGUAGCGGUGGAAUGCGCAGAUAUCAGGAGGAACACCGAUGGCGAAGGCAGGUCUCUGGGCAGUAACUGACGCUGAGGAGCGAAAGCAUGGGUAGCGAACAGGAUUAGAUACCCUGGUAGUCCAUGCCGUAAACGGUGGGCGCUAGGUGUGAGUCCCUUCCACGGGGUUCGUGCCGUAGCUAACGCAUUAAGCGCCCCGCCUGGGGAGUACGGCCGCAAGGCUAAAACUCAAAGGAAUUGACGGGGGCCCGCACAAGCGGCGGAGCAUGUGGAUUAAUUCGAUGCAACGCGAAGAACCUUACCUGGGCUUGACAUACACCAGAUCGGGCCAGAGAUGGUCUUUCCCUUUGUGGUUGGUGUACAGGUGGUGCAUGGUUGUCGUCAGCUCGUGUCGUGAGAUGUUGGGUUAAGUCCCGCAACGAGCGCAACCCUUGUCUUAUGUUGCCAGCACGUUAUGGUGGGGACUCGUGAGAGACUGCCGGGGUUAACUCGGAGGAAGGUGGGGAUGACGUCAAAUCAUCAUGCCCCUUAUGUCCAGGGCUUCACACAUGCUACAAUGGUCGGUACAACGCGUCUGCGAGCCUGUGAGGGUGAGCUAAUCGCUGUAAAGCCGGUCGUAGUUCGGAUUGGGGUCUGCAACUCGACCCCAUGAAGUCGGAGUCGCUAGUAAUCGCAGAUCAGCAACGCUGCGGUGAAUACGUUCCCGGGCCU
Molecule: ribosomal RNA, 1344 nt
Filed under: uncultured bacterium
Lineage: Bacteria
Description: bacterial SSU rRNA
Rfam family: Bacterial small subunit ribosomal RNA
Source: RNAcentral